Molecule: long non-coding RNA, 526 nt
Organism: Cebus imitator (Panamanian white-faced capuchin)
Lineage: Eukaryota; Metazoa; Chordata; Mammalia; Primates; Cebidae
Exons: 2
Source: RefSeq, a predicted model, not a curated record
ACAAGGAAGAAGAAACAGAGCGGGCUUGGGAAAUGUUGAAACAGCAGCGCGCCAUUCAUCACAGCAUUGCUGAAGAGACCAGCUCUACGUGACAUUGCCAGAAUUUCCAUCACAGGAAGCAGCUUUUGAAAAUCAAACUGAUGGAUGAGAGGGUGAAAUCCACUGAGUGGGCCGUGGAGAACAGCCGUGUUUGAGAGGCAGCUCAGCGAUGUGAAUGAGGCCAUGAAGACGGCAGUGCCUGUGGGCCCCGAUAAAUGAUGGCACCAAGCAACUGGCAGGGCGGUGGGGGUGGGAGGGGUCCCUAGGCCCCACCCCUCUCUGCUCCUGUCUGUGUAAUUAACAGCCUGCCUCUGUCAGCGGCUCAGCCUUCAGUGCUCUCUGCUGCGGCUCUGGUCAGUGAGGCCUGGAGGGGUGGCUCCUUCACCUGCCCUCUCCUGGUUUUUCCUGUGCCUGCCCCCGUGAGCCAGGAGAUGCAUUCACAGCUGCCUUUUUUUGAUGUCUUCCUUUAAAAAGAGGCAUUCCUCUG